GCGAUGGAUUGCUGCAUUUUAUUGUUAUGAUAAACUGCCAUCAAGUUUUGAGUCUAUUAGUGGAACAAGUGCUUUAUUAAAUGUUGUCUUUUCCUUUUUUAAAAGAUGUUUAUUUAAUUUAAUUUUCAGUUUUCCACUACAGUUUUUUGUUAAUAUUUUACUUGGUUCGAAAUUUUUUUUCUAAUAGGUUUUAAUCUGCAAUAUAUAUGGAACUAUAAUGCCUAAAGUUUUAUAAAGUCUUUAUCUGCAGUGGAUAUCCUGGGGGAAAAGACUGAGUUUGAAGAUUCAUAAUUUUAUUAUGACAAAAUAAAUGAUAUAACAAGGUCAUUUUCAGCUCUGCUAAUAAUGUUUUGGAUUAAAUAAUCUCAAAAUUUGUUCUGCCAUUGUUUAAGAAAGCUGGAACUUAUAGAAAUAGAUCAAUUUGAAAAAACUUUAUUGAGUAGAGUAAUUAUAGGAACAUUAGUGUCACAUACAGCAAAAUUCUAUUUGGUCGAUAAGUUAAAAGGCAAUUGUUUGAAGAGAAAUAAUAGAAUAAAUAGCUUAAUAGAAUAGCAAAAAAAACUAUUAUGUUUUUGUAUGCUUAAAUUGUAAAUAAACACAAAAUGUUAAAA
Molecule: long non-coding RNA, 611 nt
Organism: Hydra vulgaris (swiftwater hydra)
Lineage: Eukaryota; Metazoa; Cnidaria; Hydrozoa; Anthoathecata; Hydridae
Source: RefSeq, a predicted model, not a curated record